Molecule: ribosomal RNA, 306 nt
Filed under: uncultured bacterium
Lineage: Bacteria
Description: bacterial SSU rRNA
Rfam family: Bacterial small subunit ribosomal RNA
Source: RNAcentral
UGAUGACGUAAGUCCAAAGAUUUAUCGCCGAAGGAUGAGCCCGCGUAGGAUUAGGUAGUUGGUAGGGUAACUGGCCUACCAAGCCGACGAUCCCUUAGCUGGUCCUGAGAGGAUGAAUCAGCCACACUGGGACUGAGACACGGCCCAGACUCCUACGGGAGGCAGCAGUGGGGAAUAUUCGGACAAUGGGCGAAAGCCUGAUCCAGCCAAUGCCGCGUGAGUGAUGAAGGCCUUAGGGUUGUAAAGUCUCUUUUACCAGGGAUGAUAAUGACAGUACCUGGAGAAUAAGCUCCGGCUAACUCCGUG